GAUGAAGAACGCAGCGAAAUGCGAUAAGUAAUGUGAAUUGCAGAAUUCAGUGAAUCAUCGAAUCUUUGAACGCACAUUGCGGCCAUAGGUAUUCCUUUGGCCAUGCCUGUUCGAGCGUCAUUUACACCCUCAAGCCUAGCUUGGUGUUGGGCGUCUGUCCCGCCGUUCUCGCGCGCGGACUCGCCUCAAAGUCAUUGGCGGCGGUCGUGCCGGCCCCCUCGCGCAGCACAUUUGCGCUUCUCGGAGGCCCGGCGGAUCCGCGCUCCAGCAAGACCUUUCACGACUUGACCUCGGAUCAGGUAGGGAUACCCGCUGAACUUAAGCAUGUCAAUAAGCGGAGGA
RNAcentral lists this unclassified non-coding RNA (342 nucleotides) under soil metagenome. RNAcentral describes it as "partial contains 5.8S ribosomal RNA, internal transcribed spacer 2, and large subunit ribosomal RNA". The stretch from base 1 to 120 matches the Rfam family "5.8S ribosomal RNA", at positions 35 to 154 of the family's 154-position model. The record is from RNAcentral.